GAUGAACGCUGGCGGCGUGCCUAAUACAUGCAAGUCGAGCGGACGGACGAUGAUCUUGCUUGUCUGUUGUUAGCCGCGGACGGGUGUGUAACACGUGUAUAACCCACCUAUCAGACUGGUAUAUUCUCGGGACACCGGAUCUUACACCGGAUAAUAUUUUGAACCGCAGGGUUGAUUAGUGAAAUACGGUGUUUCUGGCAGUUAUAGCUGGAUCUGGGCUUGAUUAGGUGGUUGUUAAGGUAACGGCUUACCAAGGCAACGAUGCGUAGCCGAACUGAUAGACGGAUAGGCGGCCUUGGAACUGAGACACGGUCAAGACUACUGAGGGAGGCAGCAGUAUGGAAUGGUCGGCAAUGGGCGAAAGCCUGACGGAGCAACGCCGAGUGAGUGAUGAAGGUCUUCGGAUCGUAAAACUCUGUUAUUAGGGAAGAACAGAUGUGUAAGUAAAUGUGCACAUCUUGACGGUACCUAAUAAGAAAGCAACGGCUAACUACGUG
This 497-nucleotide ribosomal RNA is filed under the name uncultured bacterium. RNAcentral describes it as "partial 16S ribosomal RNA". It matches the Rfam family "Bacterial small subunit ribosomal RNA", at positions 28 to 507 of the family's 1533-position model. The record is from RNAcentral.